AGAGUUUGAUCCUGGCUCAGGACGAACGCUGGCGGCGUGCUUAACACAUGCAAGUCGAGCGAGAACCUCCUCUGGGGUAACCCGGGGGAGGGGAGAGCGGCGAACGGGUGAGUAACACGUGGGCAACCUGCCCCAGACUCUGGGAUAACAACGGGAAACCGUUGCUAAUACCGGAUAACCCUGCAGCACCGCAUGGUGCAGCAGGCAAAGUUUUUUCGGUCUGGGAUCGGCCCGCGGUGUAUCAGCUUGUUGGUGGGGUAACGGCCUACCAAGGCUUUGACGCAUAGCUGGCGUGAGAGCGCGACCAGCCACACUGGAACUGAGACACGGUCCAGACUCCUACGGGAGGCAGCAGUAGGGAAUCUUGCGCAAUGGGCGAAAGCCUGACGCAGCGACGCCGCGUGAGGGAUGAAUGCCUUCGGGUUGUAAACCUCUUUCAGCAGGGACGAAGCCUUCGGGUGACGGUACCUGCAGAAGAAGGUCCGGCCAACUACGUGCCAGCAGCCGCGGUAAUACGUAGGGACCAAGCGUUGUCCGGAUUUAUUGGGCGUAAAGAGCUCGUAGGCGGCUGUUCGCGUCGGAUGUGAAAGCUCAGGGCUCAACCCUGAGAGGCCAUUCGAUACGGGAUAGCUAGAGGUAGGUAGGGGAGAUCGGAAUUCCUGGUGUAGCGGUGAAAUGCGCAGAUAUCAGGAGGAACACCGGUGGCGAAGGCGGAUCUCUGGGCCUUACCUGACGCUGAGGAGCGAAAGCUGGGGGAGCAAACAGGAUUAGAUACCCCAGUAGUCC
RNAcentral lists this ribosomal RNA (786 nucleotides) under uncultured Actinomycetales bacterium. RNAcentral's name for it is "bacterial SSU rRNA". It matches the Rfam family "Bacterial small subunit ribosomal RNA", at positions 8 to 796 of the family's 1533-position model. Lineage: Bacteria; Bacillati; Actinomycetota; Actinomycetes; Actinomycetales. The record is from RNAcentral.